AGCCGGCGGGCGGGAUGCGGGGGAACCCCUGGCGCCCGCGCUCCUCCAACCCCUCCCGAGAGGCAGCGCUGCUGCCGCCCCCCGGCUCCGCCCGGCGAGGCCUGGCCUCAGGGUCCCAGGAGCCCCGGCCCGCCCCGCGUCCCCCACGCCCAUCCCCCGGCGACCCCAGGAUCCCCGCGCAGGCCGGUGAGACGCUGCGGGGCUGUCCGGGAAACGCUCGCUGUCAGACGCCUCCCCGCGGGGAAGCCGGGAGUCCGUUUCCAAAGUGCGAGAGAAACACAAUGGUUAAAACCCAAACCGCUUCCCCGCGGCCCUGCCUCUGCUGGGCUGGAGGUGUGAAAUGAAGAUAAGAAAAUGAAAACAGCACUCAGGACCCCAUCGCUUUAAUACAACUGCGGUUGCAUCACAUGGUUUCUGUGCUGGCAUGUUCAUCUCCUCACCCUCCUGCAUGUGGCUGAGUGGCUUUGGUGCCCGGGAGGCAUCCCUCCCGUCCUCUCACAGCCUGGCCCCAGCAGCCUCUGUCGGCUUCUUUUCAGCGUCAUCUCAGUUCCCAGAGUUCUGCCCUCCUUCCCAGCCCCCACGCCAAAUGAUAACAACCCGCUUUCCCUCUGGUUUUUGGAUCUGGCCAUUAGCUUGCUGUCUGUUUCUGUUUCUGUUUCCGGUUCCUGCUGGCAGGUGGAUGCUGGGGACAGCCUGGUUGGGGCAGGGGCAGGGGCAGGGUCCAGAGGCUGGCUUGAGUCCCAGCCGGCUCCAGCACACCAGGCCCACCCCUCCCGGGACCCUAGUCUCCACUGCAUCCUCUGCCACACUCUUGGAAGACCCCCGGCCCGAGGGGACCGUCCAAGCACAACUUCCUGCCAAUGCAUGAAAAUCAUCCAUGAACUUCUCCCUGUCAAAGGCCAGGGGCUCCUUGUCUUUGAAAUGUUGCUCACUUUACAUUUUGUGCAGUGAGGCUGAUUGAGGAAAAGGGCUGUGGCCUGAGCUCAAGAGGUGACGAGGACCUGGCCAUGGUGACUGUCAGAGCAUCGUUGGGUCCCUGGCCUCCCCAGGCCCAGGGUCCUGAUGUGUGGUCCUCCACGGGUGGUUGUAGGGAAGGUGGUCCCAGCCCCCUGCCGUUUUAGGAUGUGGGAAGUGCCUGGCCGCCGUUAGUUAACAAGCACCCACCCAGCCCUGGCUGUUUGCCCUGGGCAGGCUUCUACGAGGGAGGGAAGGGACAGCUGGGGCCAGCUCUCCAGUGUGCUCACCUUCAUGUCCACCUGCUAAACUGCUAACCUGCCCAAAGUGUGUCCCACUGCCCCUCGCUGGGGCAUCUUCCUGGUUGCGCCUUCUUCCCAGAAGCACCCGCUGUGCAGCCCUUCCAGCAGGCAGAUACUAAGCCCAGCACCCCUCCCAGGCUCCAAGCUCACUUGUGUGCUAACCGCUGUGCCCACCUGGCCACCUGCUAACCUGCCUGAAGCGUGUCCCACUGCCCCAAGCUGGGGCUGCUUCCUGGUUGUGAGGGAAGUGCCUGCUCUGCAGACCCCCACCUUCCAGCAGGCGGAUACUAAGCCCAGCACCCCUCCCAGGCUCUGGCCCUCACCACACACCUGUGGUUUCAAGCCCUGUUCUGCUGGAGGGGACACUCCUCCCACCUCCCCAGCCCGCUCUGCUGGUUUCAAGCCCUGUUCUGCUGGAGGGGACACUCCUCCCACCUCCCCAGCCCUCUCUGCUGGAGCUGUGCCCCUCCCCCGACAUUCCUCCAGGCUGGGCCACCCCCACAUGCCUCCUUGCUCUCCACUGCCCAGACCUUCUCCUUAUCUUGUUUUCCUUUUUAUAUUGUUAUUCUCCCUCCCUGGCCUUGCCUCUCCCUGCUGGGUUCCUUGCCCGAGUUUCUAAUUCAGAGAAGACUGGGUAACUCCCCACGGUGUCUCUGCUAAAGCUUCCCAGGCCCAGUGACUUUUUACUAAAUCCUUGAAGGCCAUCAGGUUCCAGGGCCUGCUAAAGUCUCCAUAAUCACCCCUUGAUUCCAGAAAUGAUCCGAGACUAGAGACUUAUCCCAGCCCAGCCCUACCGCCUAGGUCCUCCGGUGCCUGCCUGGGAGCCUGUUUGUGCACUUUGAUCCCCAGCCUGCCUGCCGGAAAAUCAUCCAGGCUGUGGUUCCUGAUCCCAUCACCUGGCUUUAUCUGAGAUACAAAGCACAAUAUUCACCAAGGGCUGGUGGCCUUCCCUGAGGGUUGGCCUGUAUUAGCAACCUGCACCUGUACCCGUACCUGCACGACAUGUGGCCAGGCCUGUGCUCCGAGGCCAGGUUUCCCUUCCCCCAUCUCUUUCUUUGUCUCCCUCUGUGUUUCUCUCUCUGUCCCAGUCUCUCUCUUCUCCCCACUGCUGGUGGUGAGGAAUUCUCCGCAUGGGAUGUUGGUGCAUCCGUUUUCAAACUUGCUGGCUCAUCCUGAACGGCAUGUGCCCUCCAAGCAUCUUUUCCCUGACCUUGUGGAUUCUUUGCGAACAGCUGGGGAAGGGGUACCCUUUAUGGAAAUGAAAACCCCUCUGAGUCCCCACUUGGGGACAGCCACUUGGCUGGGACACAGGCCCAGAUGUUGGGAUGGCCUAAAGGGAGGUCCCUGUUGGAGGAGAGGGCUGUACAAUGUGGGGGCGCCUGGUGGGGAAGGUGAUGGCCAGGCUGAGACCUCCCCUGCCCUGCCUUGACAGAGGCUGCAGCACACUCCCACACACAGACACAUGCACACAAAUACAUGUGCACAUGCACACACAUUCACACAUGGACACCCGCACAGAUAGGUGGUGACUCAUGGAUACAGGUGUGCACGGACACACACGCACCUACCUAGACACAUGCACACAUGUACAUAUGUUCCCAUAGACACAGAUAUACAUGCACACACACAGGCACACACAUACUAACAGACAUGUACAUAUGUAUGCACACAUUCACAUAGACAUACGUACACACACUGACAGACAUGCACACACAUACACAGGCACACACAUACUAACACAUGUACACAUACAUGCACACAUUCACAUAGACAUACGUACACACAGUCACACACUGUCCAGACAUGCACAUACAAGGCACACAUAUACUAACAGACAUGUACACAUACAUGCACACAUUCACAUAGAUGUACAUGCACACAGUCACACACACAGACAUGCAUACAUAGGCACACACAGACAUGCACAAAGGCACAUACUAGCAGACAUGUACACAUACAUGCACACAUUCACAUAGACAUACGUACACAGUCAUACACUGACAGACAUGUACACACAUGCAUAAUAUGCACACAUGUACACACAGUCACAUAGACACAUAUACACACACAGGCACACAUGGAUGCCCAGCCACAUGCAUGCAGACACAGACACAUGUGCACCCUCUCACACACUUUUCUCUUUCUACAACUUUGGGGUCAGAAGACCACUGACAGCUGCAUCAGGAUCACUAAAAAGUGACACAAGGUCCAGGGGCUCUGUGGCCCCAGCUUCCUCAGACCCCCGGGGUCUCUCCACUCCCAGAGCCCCCUGCCUGAGGGGCUGGAGCCCUGUGGCCAAGGCCUUUCCUCCUGGGCCCAUCCUGAGGCCUGCAGGUGGACCCUGGCCUGGCCUCCUCUGAGGCCGUCUUCCGUGCUGGCUCCGCAGCCCUCUCCUGUGCCCGCACCUGUGCAGAUGCUUGUUUUCACCCGGGCGUCUGCAGGCACUUGGUGCCAGGCUCCUCCGGGGCUUUCUCAGAGGCAGCCGAGUGCCAGGCCCUGCACACGACACCCUCACCCGAGCCGGAGAGCUUCGCAUCUGUGGAAAACUCUAAUUAAAGACGUUUUGAGAAACGCUGAACGUCUCCCUUUGUUAUUUAGGAACAAAACACCCUUUUAGGAAGCAAGUGCUUAUGGCUUCUUUCUUGAGAUUCUGAGUAAAGGGGCGUUAAGCUUGCUAGCUGGGGCAUGCUGAGCACUUCCCAGGUUAUGGCUUUACCCCAGAGCGAUUGACAGGCAUCCAGGUUUCCUCAUGCUUCAUUUUCCCCUGUUUUCUAAGGUUAAAAUUGAGAGCUGUUUCUCCAAUGCAAAGCUGAUUGUUUAAGGGUUUCGUAUUUGAUGUUGGAAAUGCUCUGGACUCUUCCAUGGUUUUUAUAUUCCAGUGAUUUCAUUGCAAACCUGGUGUGUACGCCUUGUAAAUUUUGACCCUGACCAAGUGAAAGGUUCAUUUUAAAAGUUUUAAAAUAAAUUUUAAAGGGGAGCUGGAAGUGGAAUAAGUUAAGAACAGUAUCAGUUUUGCAUUUCACUCUGACAGAGGCACUGUCUGCUCUGACUGAUGGGUGUUGAUUAAAAGUAUAAUAUUCAAAAGAAAUAGUAAAGUGCAUUGGGCCUUGUUAAUGUUCUACUAAUUUUCUGGGGCUCCGUUUUCAAAUUAUAGGUGAAAUUUUUUUCCUUCCAGUGUUAGUGCCUAUGAUAAGAAAACACAUUUUCUCCACAUCUGUCCACAAACCUGCUAGACCCAGUUUUGUGACGCCCUCCCCUUGGAACUUGGGGCUCCAUGGAAAACACACAGCUUGACCCAGCCAGCCCUCAGAGAGCCUGGGCCGGUCACUGCAGUGGCCGGAUUCUCAGCAUACAAAGGCCAAACAUUCGGCCGGGCUGGGACUGGCUCCCAUCCAGGACCAACUGUCCACAGUACAGUAAGGCCACUCUCUGAGUCAACAUUGUUUCUUUUCUGAAUUGCUAAGUUGACCGUCCCUGCAGAAGCAGAGAGGGCUGCAGUGUGGCAUUCCUGCCCACUCCAAAUGAGGGCAGCCCGGACGCGGGAGCUCUCAGGGAGGCACAGUGGGCUUUGGAUGUGUCUGGACUGUCUCCACCACACCUGGAAGAUACUGUUGACUUCCUUUUUACACUUGUGGGAAACACAUGACAGUGUUUACGGGCAGGCCGGCUUUCCAUUUAUUUCAACCCUGACAAUUGAAUAGCAGCAGCAGAUGAUGAAACUGUUCCCUUCCUGGUCACUCCCGUUCUCAGAUCCAUCGCUUAGCUCGUCCGUCGCUCAGCUUGUCUGUUAGUCUGAAAGAUGAAUCGUGCACGGGUCCUCCUGAGAGUGCUGUUCUCAGGGUCUCCAUGUGUGAAGUUGUUACAUCCUCACGACAACUGUGUAACAGCUGUCACUGAGCCAUUUUACAGAUGUGGAAACUGAGGCCCUGAGAGGCUGUGGAGGGCUACAGUGUGUCCUGGGCAUUUGAGCCCCACACUCUGUCAUUAACUCCUGUGCUCGCUGGGACUGGGGGAGAGCAGGACGCGGCAGCACCCCCGGCCCCACUGUGUGCUCCUCUGUGUGUAGGUGACUGUGAGCAUACUGGCACCCAUGUGAGGGCCGAGUGGUGCUGGUGUGGGCGCAUAAAGCACAGGGCGGCUGCGGGGAGCUGGGUGUGUGUCAGUGGCUCCGAGCAUUAGUCUCGGGAACAUGGUCUGCCAGGUGCGUCAUGCUGGGCUACAGAGCCCAUGGCUCCACCAUAAAUGGUGGCUUUGUGUUUGAACUUGAGUGUUGCUGCUCAGUGAGGCCAGAGGAAGGCACCAACCUGCAGGCCUGACCGGUCCUCACAACACGGAAGGCAACCAGUCCACUAGAGAGACAUGUGUCCCGGCCACUGGAGGAGUCCAAGUGACCUUUAAGUCUCACCAGACCUCAGAGCAACCCAGGUGAAUUUGGGGCCUGAGCUUGGUCGUCUGGCCGAAGACCAGCUCAACUUGCAUAAAGCCGGAGGAGAAGCCUGUCCCUCAGGCAGCUGCCGGGGCAUCUGUGAUUUCUGCUUGUGUGCACUCUUGGCGACUGUUGGUGGUGGUCGCAGUCAGGGCAUCUGGUUGCCUUUACUGUCCUUACACCAGCUGGGCAGAGCUCGGGCUGGGAGCCCAGUGGGAGAGGCCGGGGCGUGACUCCCGGCGCAGAAGCGGCAGUGGCACACCGGCGUCCCGAGCACAGCUGUCCCUGCCAGGCCCCUGUGGGUUGGAUCUUUGGGUUGAGUCAUGCUCGAUGGUGCAGCCAUCCUUUCAAGGGAACUGAGCUGUCCAGCGUCCCAUGGAGCAGCUCCCCGUGGAUCCGGAGAGGCCGUAAAUAAACCUCCCCAUUUGUAAGCCGGGAACACACACGAACUUUGCAAUCAUGUUUGUCCUGGGAUCAUAGAACGUGGUGGCUGGCAAGACCCAGGCGUCCUCAUCCUGUGCUGCUGUGAACAGAGGCCGGUAGCUUAUUGAGGGACCAGUCCCAGAGGCCGGUAGCUUAUUGAGGGACCAGUCCCAGAGGCCGGUAGCUUAUUGAGGGACCAGUCCCAGAGGCCGGUAGCUUAUUGAGGGACCAGUCCCAGAGGCCGGUAGCUUAUUGAGGGACCAGUCCCGGUUCGCUUUCUGUGGGGAAGACUCUGAUGGAAGCCUAGGCCCCAAACUCCAAGGUUAGCACAUUUUCUUGGAGGGAUUGACACCUCCAAAGGUGAACUUGGGUCCAAGGCACGUGUGUGCAACCUGAAGCGUGGGUGCCGUGUGCAGGAGACGCCCUCACCGGAGGUGGGGACCGAGUCCACACGGCUCUAACUGCAGAAUCACUGGCCCUGUGCCCACGACUGUUUUAUUGUGCUGUUUUAUAUGAUCACAAAGUACACUGUCUUGUUUUUCCCAAAGCAUUUGCAGUGAGACAUCCCACUUCCUCUCCACGGCAGCUGUUGCGGGCACGAGGCUGCUCCCAGGACAGCGAUGCCACCGGGGCCGGGGUGGGCACGGAGGAACCCUCUUCCUUCCUCCUCCCCGCCCUCUGCUCCCCCGCAGACUGGCCUGUCUUUAGUCAGCACUUUCCCAGGCUCCCUUCUGCCCACCACGUGCAAACAGUGGCGUGUCCUGGGCCUCUCUCCUUGUAGUGUUUCUUGUGGCCAGCAUCCCUCCCAUCCGACAGCUGUGUGGCUUCCUGACUGGCUUCUCUCAGGGCCCGCAAGGAUGCUGCCAAAUGGCCAGAGACAGUCACUGCUCUGCACUUCAAAGCAGGCAGCCCUCAGUGGGGCUUGCCCUGAAAGACAGCGGGCCUUCCUCGAUGAGAGCCUGUGCUGGCCCAGGGCCUGUGGGGGCUGCAGCUCUGUUCCUUCCCUGCGUCCACGCUCACAUGCUGAAUGUUGUGCACCACGGGACACCCUGCUGGGGGCUGUCGGGAGCAUGCUCUGUGUUUGGGGCAGAGACGGGCAGAGUGAGUCUCAGCAUUACUGCCGUGCAGGGUUGAGUCUCAGCAUGACUUCCGUGCGGGGCGAGUCUCGGCGUCACUGCCAUGCGGGGCGAGUCUCGGCGUUACCGCCGUGCAGCUGCUGGAAGCCACUCGAGCUCCUCUGUCUCGUUUGCCAUGAAGCCCAUGAGAGACACUGAUGUGUGUCUCGGGGCUUCUGUGAGAAGAGCUUGGUUACCCACCGGGUCAGGCACCACGUCGGUGCUGUGAGGCAUGGAGGGUGCUCACAGCUGUGCAGUCAGCUGCAGAGGCCUUUCCCAGCAUCCACAUCUGACCGGGCAGUCACACCCAGGAUGAGCUCCCAGGAAGAGGGCUCCCAGCAAGGGAGGGCGCACCUGGGUGUGAGCUUGGAGGAGGGCAGAGGCACCUGUCACCGCUGACCCUGGGUGCAGAUGGGCACGCCGGGUGUACUGACUGUGCUUUCCUGGGGCCUGUCUCCCUCCAGGUCAGCCUGGGGUCCUCUGGGCUGGGGGCCAUGCACUGCCUCCUGUGGGCAGUGGGAUCAGCACUUCCACUUUGCUCAGGGCUAGAGCAGGCUGCUGCGGGUGUGAAGACUUAGGAAACGAAUUCGGAAGGAAGGAAAGGAUUUUGCACUUCCCAAGCUAGAAGAACGUGAAUAGAGCCGGGCUGCCAGGCCAAGGGUCUGUAAGACGGCGGCUCUUCAGAGACUCUGCAAAUGCUGAGAAAGGAAGGCUCCCCAAGGGCAGUUCCUGUGGGCGUUACUCUGAGUUUUCUCGUAGAAGUCAAGUUCUUGGAAGACAGCACUAUGGUCAAAGGGUUAGUGAAUUCUUGUGACCAUUUCCCAUGGAAAAUAUCAGAGAAAGUUAUGGUGUUGAUAAACAGAGUCCCUGUGCUCAGCAGUCUCCACCCACUUGUCAAGUAAGAUAAAGAUUUUUGGAAACAAAAUUUAUGGCUGUUAUUUGCUAAAGAGAGUAAUACAUUCUUAGCACACUCUGAAAAAUAACCACUAUUUGCUGUAUGAAUGCAGAUGAAACUCACACAAAAAGAUUUAUGCAGGACUGACAUCGGGUGUUUGCAGAAGGUUCUCCACGUUCACUGACCUCUGAUCCUCACUGCAGCUCUGAGGGGACUGUGGCCCAAGGAUGAGUGAGUGUCAGGUCGGGCCGUGCCCUUAAUCCCCUGGCUGCCCCUCACCACCAGGCAGAGACCUUGCUGGGACCCAAGGAGUUAAAGUGUAUUCAGAGAUGAAGGUGUUUAGGAAAUGUUCUGGAACCUUCCAAGCUGACUUUAGGCUGCGUGAGGUGCUUCCAGUUCAGUGUACUUUGGGCCCAAAAGUGUUUCCUGUCUUGUUAACGCGCUGUGUUGUGUGCCAUCACCGCAUGGAGGUUUUGGCCAUUUUUAAAAAGUGAAUGGGCCCUCCCAGGGUCUAGUUGGAUCGAGAGACCACUGGAAACCCUCACCAAGCUGCAGGCAGGUAGGCAGGGGCCCCAGAGCAGGCCUAGGGGAAGAGUCCCCCCCGCCCCUUGGAGGGUCUCUUCACGUGCUGGGUGCUGCCUGAUUCCUGCGGUGGCGUGGGGAGGUCACCCCACCUUGUUCUGAACCACAGCUCUGGGUGAGGAAGCCUGUCACCAGGUUAAAGGCCAUUUGGGGGUUGGGGCGUGAGAACCGCAGUGCCCUGCUGGUAGGGUUGCCGCAUGGGUGGCCAGGCUACAGCCUGGUCCCCGAGGCCGACCCAUCCUGGGAACCCUGUGUGCAGCUCCCUGCCAUGCUUGACCUUUGCCCUGUGGGUGGCUUUGAGCGGGGGAGACCUGGGUCUGGUGGUGGGCAGGGCAGGGGCGGAGGUGGGCUUGGGUCUUUGUGACACUGCACCAAUUCCCAUGGAUUCUGUCGGCACCCACUGCCCUCCUGAGCACAGCAAAGGCAGCAGAGGCGGAUGCCAGGGUCCGGAGGCGGCAUCUACUCAUCAGACACUUUCUGUAGUUUUAUAACAAAUUUGGGGCCUCAUGUUAGACCCCAGCCAGACCAGGCUCCUGUCCUGGGGCUCAGCUCCCUCCAAGCUGCUUCAGGUUCAGUUUCCUCCAUGCUUACGAAACCGAAGGGCAACGGGCACAGUCAGGGAGGCGUCAGAGGAGGCACCGACUCUGUUGUUCACACCGGGACCUUCUGCAGACGGGGCUCCCAGCCUCGACCAGCCCUGGAACCCCCAGCACGGGGACGUCCAAUCUUUUGGCUUCCGUGGGCCACAUUGGAAGAAGAACUGUCUUGGGCCACACAUAAAAUUAACACUAACAGUAGCUGAUGAGCUAAAAAGAAGGUCUGUGCCUAAAGCUCAUGUUUUAAGAAAGUUUACGAAUUUAUGUUGGGCUGCAUUCAUGGCCAUCCUGGGCCACUCACAGUUGCGCCAGAGCCUCGGGAGCAUGGGCCGAGCACUUGCCCUGCUUCACCCAGGGACGGGGCCCUGCACUGACCAGGAAGCUGCUGCCCUCCAAGUCGUCCCUGCCAGGAACAGCAAAGCACACAAACCUCCGAGAGACCUAAUGGCUGCAUCCUUCGUGCAGUGGGCACCACGAUUGUCACCUAGAAGAGUGGGUUUGGCUGAUGUCAGUUAAUAACAAGGAUGUAAGUUUUAAAAUCACGUGGGGGUUUGUAAACUUGAGGAAUUACAGCACAAACACUUCCAUAUUAUUAAAAGAAACAGACUGGGAGCAUUGAUUUUGACUUUUCUUCCGAGUACUUAUCUAUGAUUUAAGUGAAACUGAGCAUUCAGUGCUCUGUGGGAGUGAAAACUGCAGGACCUUGCACUUGCCCACUGAUUCAUUCAUUCACCCAUCCACCCACCCAUUCAUUCAACUAUCCAUGCACUCGCUCAUCCAUCCAUCCACUCAUUCCUUCAUUUAUUCAUCCAUCUCCAUCCAGUCACCCAUUCACCCACUGAUUCAUUCACUCAUCUAUCCACUCACUCACCCACCCAUUCACUCAUCCAUUCACCCACCCACCUAUUCAUUCAUUCAUGUAUUCAUCUAUCUACUCACUCUCAUUCACCCACUCAUUCAUUCAUUCAUCUGUCCAUCCAUUCACCUAUCCACCCACUCAUCCAUUCAUGUACUCACUCAUCUACCCACUCACUCAUUCUUUCAUUCAUUCAUCCGUUCACUCACCCAUCCACCCACUCACUCAUUCAUUCAUACACUCACUCAUCCACCCACUCACUCAUUCAUUCAUACACUCACUCAUCCAUCUAUUCACUCAUUGUUUUAUUCAUUCAUCCAUCCAUCCACUCACCCAUCUAUCUACGCAUUUAUUCAUUCACCCACUCAGUCAUCCGUCCAUCCUCAUUCAUUUAUCCAUCCAUCUCCAUUCAUUUACUCAUCCAUCCACUCAUUCAUUCUUUCAUCCACCCACUCACCCAUCCACUCAUUCAUUUGUUCAUUCAUCCAUCUCUAUCCACUCAUCCAUUCAUUCAUUCCCAUUCACUCAUUCAUCCACUGAUUCAUUCAUUCAUUCAUCUGUUUAUUCACCCAUCCACUCACUUAUCCAUCCAUGCAUCUGUCUGCUCACUCAUCCAUCCUACUCACUAAUCUAUCUCCCGAUUCACUCAUCCAUCCAUUCAUUCAUUCAUCUGUGCAUUUAUCCAUACAUGCAUCUAUCCAUCCAUCCAUCUAUCAGUCCAUCUGUUCAGUCAUUCAUCCAUUCACUCAUCCAUCCAUCCACCCACUCAUUCAUGCAUCCAUCUGCCCAUCCACUCAUUUAUUCACCCAUCCAUUCUUUCACGCACUCAUCCACUGUCCAUCUGUCAUCCAUCCAUGUGUUCAGUGACGGCUCCUGAGGCCUCUGGGGGACAGUCAGCACCAGGCUCGGUGCUGGGCAGGUAGAUGUUGUCUUUUUCCUCUUGAAGCUUCAGCUAACAGUGCAGUGGCUUGGGGUUUGCUCACUUAUUUUUAUCUGUAGCUGUUCAAAUAAAACAGAAGCAGAUCCCCGGGGAAAGGAUUUCCAGGGGCCAAAUGGCGCCAUUUCCAGCCUGGGAAUCCCAGCUUCUUCCCCCUGUUGCCCUCACCUAACCCCAGCAGGCCAACCCAUUACCACAGGUCUUGCUCUUCCUAGGUUGAGAAGAAAGAGAGUCAGCGUGUACGUAAGGAGCUCCUGGUUCUAAAUCUCGGCCUCCUGAGUGGUGGCCUCUGCUCCAUGGGGACUCCUGGGGGUGCUGCUCUGGAGAGUUGGCUAAUGCAGGGCUUCAGGCCAAGGUUUAUGGACCUGAACAAGCUGUAGUGCAGACAGGGGUGGGAGGGUUUUGAGAACAAAGUGCUCUGUGUUUGGUUCUGCAGGUCAGGGAGCUUAUCUGGGUGCCUUUACUCAAAGCCAUUUCUGGGUCUUACAUCUUUGGCUAGAAUGUUCUCAGGACAACGUGAAAUGUCUUUAUCUCAGGAGUGUAUACCAGAAUGUUCUCAGGACAACGUGAAAUGUCUUUCUUUCUUGGGAGUGUGUACCAGAAUGUUCUCAGGAAAAUGUGAAAUGUCUCUUUUUCUUUCUCUCAGGAGUGUAUAGCGUUUUUAGGUUUAUUCAUCUUAGCUUUUCUCUUGCUCGUGGUUUAACCAUCUUUCCCCUAGUUUGCCGGUGGAAUUAGCAUAUGCUUUCUGCCUCCAUUACUGUCUCAAAUAAUCAAACAUGCAAAUUAGGAUACAGUGCCCAGGGUUAUAACCCUGUGGUUUCAGAAACCCCAUUCCCAUAGGUGUGGCGAACUGAGAGGAGAUUGGCAUAGUUUUUCCAUGAAUAAUGCCUUUUUGCAACAAUAAAACGUGGUAUUAAUACAGAUUACACAUUAAGUAGUAUGACUAGUCUUGAUUUUGAAAAAUAGAACACACUUGCUGUAAAGCUGUGGUAAUGCAAGCAUUUGUGUAUAGUUAGGCCGUUUGCUCACUAGUUCUUAGUUGUUUUCAAUCCCUGGCUUCUAAACCUGAAAGGACACCUUUUGCAUCCCUCGCAAGUCUUUUAUUUCAGAGCCAGAGCCUCCUGCUUUGAGACAAAGCCCCAUCACUUCCCUUCUCCUUCCAAGCCUAGAAACCUGGUGCCACCUCGUGUUGCUCCAGGACUCCACCAAGGCUCACUUGGUAUGGCUGUUCUUGCCUUUUCUUGGAGUUUGCCAACCCAUGACUAAAAUUGGAAGUGAGAGAAAUGAGGGCAGGCAUGAGGGUGUGUGUUCCAGGUCUGCAGCCCUCCUGACCUUCAGGGCGGCCGCCCUCCCAACAGACACAUGAGCUGAACACCAGCUCACCCUGACCGUUCCUUUCUCUUAAGGGAGUAAGAGUUUAAGAGCAUCCCAUCUUCCCUAGAACACAACUUUGUGAAAACACAUCCAAGCAGGCCUCAGGAGGGUGUUGGCAAGGCUGGGGCGGGGCCUCCAGGCUCUUCCCACAAAAGGUGUGGCAAGGCCAGCAAGUGUGGGAGAGAGGUGGGAAGGAGGCAGAAAGGCUGUGCAGAGCCAGCGCAUGAAGCCAGAGGCGCAUUGCAGAUGACGCUGGGUACCGCCUCUGUCUGCUACUCUGCAAAAUGCUACCAGCGCCUGCUAAUCCUGACCUUCAUGCCCCCAGGUGAAUCCCACAACCAUCCUGAAGCCGGGUUUCCGCAUUCCUGAUAAUGGGAUUAAAAAGACUUUCCUGGGUGUUAUUUGUGAGGAUUUCAUAAAAUAGUGUAAAAAUGCUGACUCAUACCCAGCAUGGAGAGGCCGCUGGGACUAUUCUGCCAUGACUGUGGUCUCUUGGUUUAGAGCAUUUAGGGCCAAA
Long non-coding RNA from Gorilla gorilla gorilla (western lowland gorilla), 12977 nucleotides. RefSeq lists it as uncharacterized. The record is from RefSeq and is a predicted model, not a curated record. NCBI's taxonomy places the organism in Eukaryota, Metazoa, Chordata, Mammalia, Primates, Hominidae. The transcript is spliced from 2 exons.